UACGGAGGAUGCAAGCGUUAUCCGGAAUUAUUGGGCGUAAAGCGUCCGCAGGUGGCACUUCAAGUCUGUCGUCAAAGACUGGGGCUUAACCCCGGAAAGGCGGUGGAAACUGAAGCGCUAGAGUGCGGUAGGGGUAGAGGGAAUUCCCGGUGUAGCGGUGAAAUGCGUAGAGAUCGGGAAGAACAUCGGUGGCGAAAGCGGAUCUCUGGGCCUUGCCUGACGCUGAGGCGCGAAAGCUAGGGGAGCGAACAGG
Molecule: ribosomal RNA, 253 nt
Filed under: uncultured bacterium
Lineage: Bacteria
Description: partial 16S ribosomal RNA
Rfam family: Bacterial small subunit ribosomal RNA
Source: RNAcentral